UUUUAAACUAUGGACCUUUUCGUAAAUACUAAUUUUUGAGGGACUUGGCAGCACAUUGUGCAUUUAAUCCCUAAUUUUGUUUCGAUUCCCAUUCCUAAUAGCACCGUAGCCAACCUAUUUUUUUUCCUCUCGCUCGACUCCCUCUCCCUUCAUGUCCGUGCGGCCUUCCAUCCGCUCCGCAUGUGCGCACGACGCCGCUUGAUCAACGUCGUCGUCAUCGUCAUCCGUGGCCGCCGCCACCGUACAUCUCAUGUAUAUUCGUCGUUGACGGCACUCCAUCGUCGUCGUUACCGUCUUUGAGAAGAUUCCAAUAAUUGAUUUUUCAUGCGAUUGUCGACUGGUUAGCUUUUUAGCUACGAAGCUACUUUAAGGGCGACCGGACUAUUUGACUUGACAGGUUGCGUGUUCCGGACAGUACGACGGACCAACCCGAAAAGUUUUGACGCGGCGCGGCGCAGGCGGCGCGCAUGCUGGAAAUCUGGGCGCCCACAUCUUCUAGAAGCCCAAAAUGAUUCCGCUCAGAGAAAGCGGCGCACGUGGUUUGUCUAUGUCAGAAAAGUCAGCGCGCAUGUUCUGGGUGCCCACAAAUUCUGAAGGCCCGAAUAUACGAAUCCAGAAAAGCGGCGCACGUUGUCUGACAGGCAGUUGGAAGCGCAGUGCGCGUGCACAACUUCUGGGCGCCCGAAAUCUGGUUUAGGGUGCUCGAAAGUGCAACGGUCUAGAGUUGGCCGAGGCUAUAAAUAGAUGACUUUGAGGCCUUUCUCAGCCUUUUUUUUUAGACAGUCCACUUGAGCUUAAAAAUUUUAGUAUUCUAUAUACUCUUAGCUCUAAAUUCUCUCUCUAAACUUGAGUGCAAUUUGUAGUGAGAUUUAAUCUUGUAAAAAGAGAGAAAAUCAAAAUCUUGGAGCUUGAAAAGAAGAAGGUGUUGCUGUGAAGGCUUGGUGCUUGCCUGCAAAAGCAUCAACUAGUAGAGAUCCAAUAUUCUCUAGUGUUGAGAAGUUAGCGGGGACGUAGGCAAAGUGCCGAAUCUCGAAACAAAUCGAUUG
Molecule: long non-coding RNA, 1046 nt
Organism: Ananas comosus (pineapple)
Lineage: Eukaryota; Viridiplantae; Streptophyta; Magnoliopsida; Poales; Bromeliaceae
Exons: 3
Source: RefSeq, a predicted model, not a curated record